GCCGUAAUGCGCGCAGUCUGAUCAGCCAUGCCGCGUGCGUGAUGAAGGCCUUCGGGUUGUAAACGCGCUUUUGUCAGGGAAGAUAUCGUCUGUGCUAAUACCAUGGGGUGAUGACGGUACCUGAAGAAUAAGCACCGGCUGCUACGUGCCAGCAGCCGCGGUAAU
RNAcentral lists this ribosomal RNA (165 nucleotides) under uncultured bacterium. RNAcentral's name for it is "partial 16S ribosomal RNA". It matches the Rfam family "Bacterial small subunit ribosomal RNA", at positions 366 to 524 of the family's 1533-position model. The record is from RNAcentral.